UGGGGAAUAUUGGACAAUGGGCGCAAGCCUGAUCCAGCCAUGCCGCGUGAGUGACGAAGGCCUUAGGGUUGUAAAGCUCUUUUUGGCGGGGACGAUAAUGACGGUACCCGCAGAAUAAGCUCCGGCUAACUUCGUGCCAGCAGCCGCGGUAAUACGAAGGGAGCUAGCGUUGUUCGGAAUCACUGGGCGUAAAGCGCACGUAGGCGGAUUAUUAAGUCAGGGGUGAAAUCCCGGGGCUCAACCUCGGAACUGCCUCUGAUACUGAUAGUCUCGAGUCCGGAAGAGGUGGGUGGAAUUCCUAGUGUAGAGGUGAAAUUCGUAGAUAUUAGGAGGAACACCAGUGGCGAAGGCGACUUUCUGGAUCAAUACUGACGCUGAGGAGCGAAAGCGUGGGGAGCAAACAGGAUUAGAUACCCAAGUAGUCCCUGAGCGGGCUGGCAAGGCGCAU
RNAcentral lists this ribosomal RNA (448 nucleotides) under uncultured bacterium. RNAcentral's name for it is "bacterial SSU rRNA". It matches the Rfam family "Bacterial small subunit ribosomal RNA", at positions 355 to 825 of the family's 1533-position model. The record is from RNAcentral.